Molecule: non-coding RNA, 210 nt
Filed under: Symbiodinium sp. CCMP2430
Lineage: Eukaryota; Dinophyceae; Suessiales; Symbiodiniaceae
Source: RNAcentral
AAGCACGAAAGAAGUGAAGUGAAUGAACAGAACAAAGCACACAACACCUUGGAACCGAGAUCUGUGGUGUGUUUUCUCUUUGUCUUUCUUUCGCUCGUUUCACGCUUUCACUCACUUCGUUCUUUUCAUUGUAAACGAGCGAAACAAAGAGAAAGAGAAAGAGACACCACAGUUGAUGAUUCAUAGACUUGGAAAUUAAGGUGAAAGGAU